AGAACUCCGAUUGCGAAGGCAGCCAACAAGGCCUUUACUGACGCUAAAGCUCGAAGGUGCGGGUAUCGAACAGGAUUAGAUACCCUGGUAGUCCGCACGGUAAACGAUGGAUGCCCGCUGUUUGCGAUAUACUGUGAGCGGCCAAGAGAAAUCGUUAAGCAUCCCACCUGGGGAGUACGCCGGCAACGGUGAAACUCAAAGGAAUUGACGGGGGCCCGCACAAGCGGAGGAACAUGUGGUUUAAUUCGAUGAUACGCGAGGAACCUUACCCGGGCUUGAACUGCCAGCGAACGAUUCAGAGAUGAUGAGGCCCUUCGGGGCGCUGGUGGAGGUGCUGCAUGGUUGUCGUCAGCUCGUGCCGUGAGGUGUCGGCUUAAGUGCCAUAACGAGCGCAACCCUUUUCUUUAGUUGCCAUCAGGUGAUGCUGGGCACUCUGGAGAUACUGCCACCGUAAGGUGUGAGGAAGGUGGGGAUGACGUCAAAUCAGCACGGCCCUUACGUCCGGGGCUACACACGUGUUACAAUGGGGGGUACAGAGAGUCGGAUAUACGCAAGUAUGUUCUAAUCCUUAAAGCCUUCCUCAGUUCGGAUUGGGGUCUGCAACCCGACCCCAUGAAGCUGGAUUCGCUAGUAAUCGCGCAUCAGCCAUGGCGCGGUGAAUACGUUCCCGGGCCUUGUACACACCGCCCGUCAAGCCAUGAAAGCCGGGGGCGCUUGAAGUCCGUGACCGCAAGGAUCGGCCUAGAGCGAAACUGGUAAUUGGGGCUAAGUGGGGAACAAGGUAGCCGUA
Molecule: ribosomal RNA, 790 nt
Filed under: uncultured bacterium
Lineage: Bacteria
Description: bacterial SSU rRNA
Rfam family: Bacterial small subunit ribosomal RNA
Source: RNAcentral